AGAUUAAGUUAUUAAGGGCGCACGGUGGAUGCCUUGGCACUAGAAGCCGAUGAAGGACGUUACUAACGACGAUAUGCUUUGGGGAGCUGUAAGUAAGCGUUGAUCCAGAGAUUUCCGAAUGGGGAAACCCAGCAUGAGUUAUGUCAUGUUAUCGAUAUGUGAAUACAUAGCAUAUCAGAAGGCAGACCCGGAGAACUGAAACAUCUUAGUACCCGGAGGAAGAGAAAGAAAAAUCGAUUCCCUGAGUAGCGGCGAGCGAAACGGGAAGAGCCCAAACCAACAAGCUUGCUUGUUGGGGUUGUAGGACACUCUAUACGGAGUUACAAAAGUAUAUAUUAGACGAAUCAUCUGGAAAGUUGAAUCAAAGAAGGUAAUAAUCCUGUAGUCGAAAAUAUAUACUCUCUUGAGUGGAUCCUGAGUACGACGGAGCACGUGAAAUUCCGUCGGAAUCUGGGAGGACCAUCUCCUAAGGCUAAAUACUCUCUAGUGACCGAUAGUGAACCAGUACCGUGAGGGAAAGGUGAAAAGUACCCCGGAAGGGGAGUGAAAGAGAACUUGAAACCGUGUGCUUACAAGUAGUCAGAGCCCGUUAAUGGGUGAUGGCGUGCCUUUUGUAGAAUGAACCGGCGAGUUACGAUUUGAUGCAAGGUUAAGCAGCUAAUGUGGAGCCGUAGCGAAAGCGAGUCUGAAUAGGGCGUUUAGUAUUUGGUCGUAGACCCGAAACCAGGUGAUCUACCCUUGGUCAGGUUGAAGUUCAGGUAACACUGAAUGGAGGACCGAACCGACUUACGUUGAAAAGUGAGCGGAUGAACUGAGGGUAGCGGAGAAAUUCCAAUCGAACUUGGAGAUAGCUGGUUCUCUCCGAAAUAGCUUUAGGGCUAGCCUCAAGUGAUGAUUAUUGGAGGUAGAGCACUGUUUGGACGAGGGGCCCUUCUCGGGUUACCGAAUUCAGACAAACUCCGAAUGCCAAUUAAUUUAACUUGGGAGUCAGAACAUGGGUGAUAAGGUCCGUGUUCGAAAGGGAAACAGCCCAGACCACCAGCUAAGGUCCCAAAAUAUAUGUUAAGUGGAAAAGGAUGUGGCGUUGCCCAGACAACUAGGAUGUUGGCUUAGAAGCAGCCAUCAUUUAAAGAGUGCGUAAUAGCUCACUAGUCGAGUGACACUGCGCCGAAAAUGUACCGGGGCUAAACAUAUUACCGAAGCUGUGGAUUGUCCGUAGGACAAUGGUAGGAGAGCGUUCUAAGGGCGUCGAAGCAUGAUCGCAAGGACAUGUGGAGCGCUUAGAAGUGAGAAUGCCGGUGUGAGUAGCGAAAGACGGGUGAGAAUCCCGUCCACCGAUUGACUAAGGUUUCCAGAGGAAGGCUCGUCCGCUCUGGGUUAGUCGGGUCCUAAGCUGAGGCCGACAGGCGUAGGCGAUGGAUAACAGGUUGAUAUUCCUGUACCACCUAGUAUCGUUUUAAUCGAUGGGGGGACGCAGUAGGAUAGGCGAAGCGUGCUAUUGGAUUGCACGUCCAAGCAGUAAGACUGAGUGUUAGGCAAAUCCGGCACUCAUAAGGUCAAGCUGUGAUGGGGAGAGGAAAUUGUUUCCUCGAGUCGUUGAUUUCACACUGCCAAGAAAAGCCUCUAGAUAGAUAACAGGUGCCCGUACCGCAAACCGACACAGGUAGUCAAGAUGAGAAUUCUAAGGUGAGCGAGCGAACUCUCGUUAAGGAACUCGGCAAAAUGACCCCGUAACUUCGGGAGAAGGGGUGCUCUUUAGGGUUAACGCCCAGAAGAGCCGCAGUGAAUAGGCCCAAGCGACUGUUUAUCAAAAACACAGGUCUCUGCUAAACCGUAAGGUGAUGUAUAGGGGCUGACGCCUGCCCGGUGCUGGAAGGUUAAGAGGAGUAGUUAGCUUCUGCGAAGCUACGAAUCGAAGCCCCAGUAAACGGCGGCCGUAACUAUAACGGUCCUAAGGUAGCGAAAUUCCUUGUCGGGUAAGUUCCGACCCGCACGAAAGGCGUAACGAUUUGGGCACUGUCUCAACGAGAGACUCGGUGAAAUCAUAGUACCUGUGAAGAUGCAGGUUACCCGCGACAGGACGGAAAGACCCCGUGGAGCUUUACUGUAGCCUGAUAUUGAAAUUCGGCACAGCUUGUACAGGAUAGGUAGGAGCCUUUGAAACGUGAGCGCUAGCUUACGUGGAGGCAUUGGUGGGAUACUACCCUAGCUGUGUUGGCUUUCUAACCCGCACCACUUAUCGUGGUGGGAGACAGUGUCAGGUGGGCAGUUUGACUGGGGCGGUCGCCUCCUAAAAGGUAACGGAGGCGCUCAAAGGUUCCCUCAGAAUGGUUGGAAAUCAUUCAUAGAGUGUAAAGGCAUAAGGGAGCUUGACUGCGAGACUUACAAGUCGAGCAGGGUCGAAAGACGGACUUAGUGAUCCGGUGGUUCCGCAUGGAAGGGCCAUCGCUCAACGGAUAAAAGCUACCCCGGGGAUAACAGGCUUAUCUCCCCCAAGAGUUCACAUCGACGGGGAGGUUUGGCACCUCGAUGUCGGCUCAUCGCAUCCUGGGGCUGUAGUCGGUCCCAAGGGUUGGGCUGUUCGCCCAUUAAAGCGGUACGCGAGCUGGGUUCAGAACGUCGUGAGACAGUUCGGUCCCUAUCCGUCGUGGGCGUAGGAAAUUUGAGAGGAGCUGUCCUUAGUACGAGAGGACCGGGAUGGACAUACCUCUGGUGUACCAGUUGUCGUGCCAACGGCAUAGCUGGGUAGCUAUGUAUGGACGGGAUAAGUGCUGAAAGCAUCUAAGCAUGAAGCCCCCCCUCAAGAUGAGAUUUCCCAACUUCGGUUAUAAGAUCCCUCAAAGAUGAUGAGGUUAAUAGGUUCGAGGUGGAAGCGUGGUGACACGUGGAGCUGACGAAUACUAAUCGAUCGAAGACUUAA
This 2920-nucleotide ribosomal RNA is filed under the name Staphylococcus warneri. RNAcentral describes it as "bacterial LSU rRNA". It matches the Rfam family "Bacterial large subunit ribosomal RNA". Lineage: Bacteria; Bacillati; Bacillota; Bacilli; Caryophanales; Staphylococcaceae. The record is from RNAcentral.